This is a transfer RNA of 74 nucleotides. It matches the Rfam family "tRNA". Rfam says of the family: Transfer RNA (tRNA) molecules are approximately 80 nucleotides in length.
GCGGGUGUGGCUGAGUGGUCAGGCACCGGUCUGCAAAACCGUUUACACGGGUUCGAAUCCCGUCACUCGCUCCA